Erinaceus europaeus (western European hedgehog) is the source of this 114-nucleotide ribosomal RNA. Lineage: Eukaryota; Metazoa; Chordata; Mammalia; Eulipotyphla; Erinaceidae. The record is from Ensembl.
GUCUACAGCCAUAUGACCCUGGUCACGCCUGAUCUCGUCUGAUCUCAGAAGCUAAGCAGGGUUAAGUCUGGUUAGUAUUUGGAUGGGAUAUUAAAAUCCUGUGAACUGUUGGUG